Molecule: ribosomal RNA, 253 nt
Filed under: uncultured bacterium
Lineage: Bacteria
Description: partial 16S ribosomal RNA
Rfam family: Bacterial small subunit ribosomal RNA
Source: RNAcentral
UACGUAGGUGGCAAGCGUUGUCCGGAUUUAUUGGGCUUAAAGGGUGCGUAGGCGGUCUAUUAAGUCAGUGGUGAAAUACUCCAGCUUAACUGGAGGGGUGCCAUUGAUACUGAUGGACUUGAGUGAAGUCGAGGUAGGCGGAAUUGACGGUGUAGCGGUGAAAUGCUUAGAUAUCGUCAAGAACACCAAUAGCGAAGACAGCUUACUAGGCUUAUACUGACGCUGAGGCACGAAAGUGUGGGGAGCAAACAGG